AACGAACGCUGGCGGCAGGCUUAACACAUGCAAGUCGAGCGCCUCGCAAGAGGAGCGGCAGACGGGUGAGUAACGCGUGGGAACGUACCCUUAUCUUCGGAAUAGCUCUGGGAAACUGGAAGUAAUACCGAAUGUGCCCUUAGGGGGAAAGAUUUAUCGGAUAAGGAUCGGCCCGCGUUGGAUUAGCUAGUUGGUGGGGUAAAGGCCUACCAAGGCGACGAUCCAUAGCUGGUCUGAGAGGAUGAUCAGCCACAUUGGGACUGAGACACGGCCCAAACUCCUACGGGAGGCAGCAGUGGGGAAUAUUGGACAAUGGGCGCAAGCCUGAUCCAGCCAUGCCGCGUGAGUGAUGAGGGCCUUAGGGUUGUAAAGCUCUUUCACCGGAGAAGAUAAUGACGGUAUCCGGAGAAGAAGCCCCGGCUAACUUCGUG
Molecule: ribosomal RNA, 431 nt
Filed under: uncultured bacterium
Lineage: Bacteria
Description: partial 16S ribosomal RNA
Rfam family: Bacterial small subunit ribosomal RNA
Source: RNAcentral